CCGUUGCCAUUUUGGCUCAAG
RNAcentral lists this small RNA (21 nucleotides) under Karenia brevis. RNAcentral's name for it is "trans-spliced leader sequence SL". The record is from RNAcentral. Lineage: Eukaryota; Dinophyceae; Gymnodiniales; Kareniaceae.